GCAGCAGCCGCGGUAAUACAGAGGGUGCGAGCGUUAAUCGGAUUUACUGGGCGUAAAGCGUGCGUAGGCGGCUUCUUAAGUCGGAUGUGAAAUCCCUGAGCUUAACUUAGGAAUUGCAUUCGAUACUGGGAAGCUAGAGUAUGGGAGAGGAUGGUAGAAUUCCAGGUGUAGCGGUGAAAUGCGUAGAGAUCUGGAGGAAUACCGAUGGCGAAGGCAGCCAUCUGGCCUAAUACUGACGCUGAGGUACGAAAGCAUGGGGAGCAAACAGGAUUAGAGACCCCCGUAGUCCUGUCUCUUAUACA
RNAcentral lists this ribosomal RNA (302 nucleotides) under uncultured bacterium. Its description in RNAcentral is "partial 16S ribosomal RNA". It matches the Rfam family "Bacterial small subunit ribosomal RNA", at positions 508 to 809 of the family's 1533-position model. The record is from RNAcentral.